Molecule: ribosomal RNA, 440 nt
Filed under: uncultured bacterium
Lineage: Bacteria
Description: partial 16S ribosomal RNA
Rfam family: Bacterial small subunit ribosomal RNA
Source: RNAcentral
CCUACGGGGAGCAGCAGUGGGGAAUAUUGCACAAUGGGGGAAACCCUGAUGCAGCGACGCCGCGUGAGUGAAGAAGUAUUUCGGUAUGUAAAGCUCUAUCAGCAGGGAAGAAAAUGACGGUACCUGACUAAGAAGCCCCGACUAACUACGUGCCAUCAGCCGCGGUAAUACGUAGGGGGCAAGCAUUAUCCGGAUUUACUGGGUGUAAAGGGAGCGUAGACGGCCAGACAAGUCAGAAGUGAAAGCCCAGGGCUCAACCCUGGGACUGUUUUGGAAACUGCCGGGCUAGAGUGCAGGAGAGGUAAGCGGAAUUCCUAGUGUAGCGGUGAAAUGCGUAGAUAUUAGGAGGAACACCAGUGGCGAAGGCGGCUUACUGGACUGUAACUGACGUUGAGGCUCGAAAGCGUGGGGAGCAAACAGGAUUAGAUACCCCAGUAGUC